RNAcentral lists this ribosomal RNA (459 nucleotides) under uncultured bacterium. RNAcentral's name for it is "partial 16S ribosomal RNA". It matches the Rfam family "Bacterial small subunit ribosomal RNA", at positions 338 to 795 of the family's 1533-position model. The record is from RNAcentral.
CCUACGGGUGGCUGCAGUGAGGAAUAUUGGUCAAUGGGCGCGAGCCUGAACCAGCCAAGUCGCGUGAGGGAAGACGGUCCUAUGGAUUGUAAACCUCUUUUGUCGGGGAGCAAAAACCGCCACGCGUCCCGUUCUGAGUGUACCUGAAGAAAAAGCAUCGGCUAACUCCGUGCCAGCAGCCGCGGUAAUACGGAGGAUGCGAGCGUUAUCCGGAUUUAUUGGGUUAAAAGGGUGCGCAGGCGGAAGAUUAAGUCAGCGGUAAAAUUGCGGGGCUCAACCUCUUCGAGCCGUUGAAACUGGUUUUCUUGAGUGAGUGAGAAGUAUGCGGAAUGCGUGGUGUAGCGGUGAAAUGCAUAGAUGUCACGCAGAACUCCGAUUGCGAAGGCAGCAUACCGGCGCUCAACUGACGCUGAUGCACGAAAGUGUGGGUAUCGAACAGGAUUAGAUACCCGGGUAGUC